UUGAGGGGUUAAGGCUCCCAGUAGACGACUGGGUUGAUAGGCCAGAUCUGGAAGCCCGGUAACGGGUGGAGGUGACUGGUACUAAUAGGCCGAGGGCUUGUCCUCAGUUG
Molecule: ribosomal RNA, 110 nt
Filed under: Streptomyces sp. MZ04
Lineage: Bacteria; Bacillati; Actinomycetota; Actinomycetes; Kitasatosporales; Streptomycetaceae
Description: partial 23S ribosomal RNA
Rfam family: Bacterial large subunit ribosomal RNA
Source: RNAcentral